CGCGUGUACUGGUCCGGCCGGGCCUUUCCCUCUGUGGAACCCCAUGCCCUUCACUGGGUGUGGCGGGGAAACAGGACUUUUACUGUGAAAAAAUUAGAGUGCUCCAGGCAGGCCUAUACUCGAAUACAUUAGCAUGGAAUAAUAGAAUAGGACGUGUGGUUCUAUUUUGUUGGUUUCUAGGACCGCCGUAAUGAUUAAUAGGGACAGUCGGGGGCAUCAGUAUUCAAUUGUCAGAGGUGAAAUUCUUGGAUUUAUUGAAGACUAACUACUGCGAAAGCAUUUGCCAAGGAUGUUUUCAUUAAUCAGGAACGAAAGUUAGGGGAUCGAAGACGAUCAGAUACCGUCGUAGUCUUAACCAUAAACUAUGCCGACUAGGGAUCGGACGAUGUUAUUUUUUGACUCGUUCGGCACCUUACGAGAAAUCAAAGUGCUUGGGCUCCAGGGGGAGUAUGGUCGCAAGGCUGAAACUUAAAGAAAUUGACGGAAGGGCACCACCAGGGGUGGAGCCUGCGGCUUAAUUUGACUCAACACGGGGAAACUCACCAGGUCCAGACACAAUGAGGAUUGACAGAUUGAGAGCUCUUUCUUGAUUUUGUGGGUGGUGGUGCAUGGCCGUUCUUAGUUGGUGGAGUGAUUUGUCUGCUUAAUUGCGAUAACGAACGAGACCUUAACCUGCUAAAUAGCCCGUAUUGCUUUGGCAGUACGCUGGCUUCUUAGAGGGACUAUCGG
This 729-nucleotide ribosomal RNA is filed under the name uncultured eukaryote. RNAcentral's name for it is "SSU rRNA". It matches the Rfam family "Eukaryotic small subunit ribosomal RNA", at positions 670 to 1426 of the family's 1831-position model. The record is from RNAcentral.